UGGCUCAGACGGUAAAGCAUCUGCCUGCAAUGUAGGAAUCCCGGGUUUGAUUCCUGG
This 57-nucleotide transfer RNA is filed under the name Ovis aries (sheep). The record is from Rfam by way of RNAcentral. Lineage: Eukaryota; Metazoa; Chordata; Mammalia; Artiodactyla; Bovidae.